GGCUACAGCGGACCUAGUGUGACGCUGCACAUUUUAAAUCAGGGUUGGUUCUGCUUCGGAAUCUGGAAGAUUCGGAAAGUUAAAAAAAAGGAAAAGAAAAAGAAAAACCUUUCGGGGAGGCAUGCUCCAAAAACAGCACAUUCUGCGCCCACCUUCGUGUCCCCAAAAGAGUGAGGAGAGAAGGGAAGAAGAAGGGAGGCAACUACCCGGUGCAGUAUCCCGCUGCCCACCCUCUCCGGCCGCCUGGGGGAGCGCAGCCUUGCGCCGGGGCUGGGGCUGGGGUUGGGGUUGGCCGCUGCAGCCCGCGGAACCGCUACUCACGGACGCCCUGGAUGCGUCCCCCCGGGCCUUACCUCAGGGCCUCAAGGUCUAGCUGUGCUAAUGACUCACACUUUAUCUCAACCAUGUAUAGAGGAUACACAAGAAGACUCCAGGAGGGAUGGAGCCGUUAGAGGAUUCCAUCCAGGACAGCACAUUUAAUUGUUAUGAUGUCUUGGGCUCCUCUUGGCUGUGAGAGUUUCUCAGAUUUUCCUUGUAUCUGAUGACCUUCACAGUCCUUAAGAGUAUAGGUAAAUACCUAGCAGUGAAAUGGCUGGAUAAAUCAAGGAAAGACUGUGACGGCACAGCAAGAAGGCAGCCAUCUGCAAGCCAGGAAGGGAGGCCUCAUCAGAAAUCAACUCUGGUACCUUGACCUCGGAUUUCCAGCCUGCAGAACAGUGACAAAAUAAAUCCUGUCAUUUAAGCUAUGCAGUCUUUGGUAUUUUGUUACGUCAACCCAAAUAGACUGUAUUAGUCAGGUUUCUCUAGAGCGAUGGAACUAAUAGGGUGGGUAUACAUAUAUAAAGGGGAGUUUAUCAAAUCACAUUAACUCACAUAAUUACAAGGUCCCACAAUAGUCUGUCUGCAAGCUAAGGAGCAAGGAAGCCAGUCUGACUCCCGAAGCUGAAGAACUUAGAGUUUGACAUCCAAGGGAAGAAAGCAUCCAGCAUGGAAGAAAGAUGUAGGCUGAGGCCUUUUCAUGUUUUUCUGCCUGCUUUAUAUCCUGGCUGAGCAGGCAGCUGAUUGGAUGGUGUCCACCCAGAUUAAGGGUGGAUCUGCCUUUUCCAGUCCACUGACUCAAAUGUUAAUCUCCUUUGGUAGGAUUCUCACAGACACACCAGGAUCAAUACUUUGCAUCCUUCAAGCCCAUCAAGUUGACACUCAGUAUUAACUAUCACACAGACUAAUGGAGUAUACGUUAGAUUGUAACUGCUAAUAAUAACAGUUGGUGGUAAUGGCGAUGAUAAUCCUAGAGGUCCACAACAUUUACUGAUAAAGAAUUGAAAGACCUGCUUUGAAUUGAUAAUGGAAUUUUUAGGAGGGAUAUAAAUAAGCUUUCUGCUCUCUUACUCUCCCCUUUCCUUUUAUUAAGUGGAUUUAGAAAUACUUUUAUUUGGUAAAAGAAAUGUUAUAAAUCUUCAUACAUAUGGCUAAUAUUUCUGGCUAGUUACCGUGAAGCAGAAUAACCAUUAAGCAUAUUAUUAGAGAUAAUUGAUUUCAUUGUCUGCUUGAUUUUAGUGAUAAAUUUAAGCAGUUUAUGUCACCUCACUUAGAUAAACUGCAAUUAUGAUAUAUGUCUAAAUGCAAAAUAAUGUGAUGUCUGUAGCUACCUUUAUUAUUACUUGUAUUUCUUUUUCUUUUUUCUGAAUCCACAAUUUAUGAUUUUGAUAUUGAAUGAAUAAAAUUGUUCUUUCUUCCUCACUGGGAGGCCUGCCUUGCAAGCUACUUUUUUGCCAAAACAUUUACCAGGACUUUUAAAGUCAUCUCUUGUUUUCAGUUUUCUUCUCUUUUAUGCCAACUACCUUUGAAGAGAUUUGAAAGUUAGUCUAUGUUUGAAAUUACUGUG
Callithrix jacchus (white-tufted-ear marmoset) is the source of this 1885-nucleotide long non-coding RNA. RefSeq lists it as uncharacterized. The record is from RefSeq and is a predicted model, not a curated record. Lineage: Eukaryota; Metazoa; Chordata; Mammalia; Primates; Cebidae.